GACGAACGCUGGCGGCGUGCUUAACACAUGCAAGUCGAACGGAAAGACCCUGCUUUUGUGGGGUGCUCGAGUGGCGAACGGGUGAGUAACACGUGAGUAACCUGCCCUUGACUUUGGGAUAACUUCAGGAAACUGGGGCUAAUACCGGAUAGGAGCUCCUGCUGCAUGGUGGGGGUUGGAAAGUUUCGGCGGUUGGGGAUGGACUCGCGGCUUAUCAGCUUGUUGGUGGGGUAGUGGCUUACCAAGGCGUUGACGGGUAGCCGGCCUGAGAGGGUGACCGGCCACAUUGGGACUGAGAUACGGCCCAGACUCCUACGGGAGGCAGCAGUGGGGAAUAUUGCACAAUGGGCGGAAGCCUGAUGCAGCAACGCCGCGUGCGGGAUGACGGCCUUCGGGUUGUAAACCGCUUUCGCCUGUGACGAAGCGUGAGUGACGGUAAUGGGUAAAGAAGCACCGGCUAACUACGUG
This 468-nucleotide ribosomal RNA is filed under the name uncultured bacterium. RNAcentral's name for it is "partial 16S ribosomal RNA". It matches the Rfam family "Bacterial small subunit ribosomal RNA", at positions 28 to 507 of the family's 1533-position model. The record is from RNAcentral.